Molecule: ribosomal RNA, 433 nt
Filed under: uncultured bacterium
Lineage: Bacteria
Description: partial 16S ribosomal RNA
Rfam family: Bacterial small subunit ribosomal RNA
Source: RNAcentral
AACGAACGCUGGCGGCAUGCCUAACACAUGCAAGUCGAACGAGACCUUCGGGUCUAGUGGCGCACGGGUGCGUAACGCGUGGGAAUCUGCCCUUGGGUUCGGAAUAACAGUUGGAAACGACUGCUAAUACCGGAUGAUGACGUAAGUCCAAAGAUUUAUCGCCCAGGGAUGAGCCCGCGUAGGAUUAGCUAGUUGGUGGGGUAAAGGCCUACCAAGGCGACGAUCCUUAGCUGGUCUGAGAGGAUGAUCAGCCACACUGGGACUGAGACACGGCCCAGACUCCUACGGGAGGCAGCAGUGGGGAAUAUUGGACAAUGGGCGAAAGCCUGAUCCAGCAAUGCCGCGUGAGUGACGAAGGCCUUAGGGUUGUAAAGCUCUUUUACCCGGGAUGAUAAUGACAGUACCGGGAGAAUAAGCCCCGGCUAACUCCGUG